UAUGUUUAACGGCCGCGGUAUUUUAACCGUGCGAAGGUAGCGCAAUCACUUGUCUUUUAAAUGAAGACCUGUAUGAAUGGCAUAACGAGGGCUUAACUGUCUCCUUUUCUAAGUCAAUGAAAUUGAUCUUUCCGUGCAGAAGCGGGAAUGACACCAUAAGACGAGAAGACCCUAUGGAGCUUUAGACAAAAGGUAGAUCACACUAAACACCCUAAACAAAAGGAUAAACUAAAAGAAUACUACCCUCAUGUCUUCGGUUGGGGCGACCGCGGGGCACAUAAAACCCCCACGUGGACCAGGAGGAAUUUUACCCUCACCUCCCAAAACUAAGAGCCCCCGCUCUAGUAAACAGAAUUUCUGACCAAAAAUGAUCCGGCAACGCCGAUCAACGGACCAAGUUACCCUAGGGAUAACAGCGCAAUCCCCUUUUAGAGUCCAUAUCGACAAGGGGGUUUACGACCUCGAUGUUGGAUCAGGACAUCCUAAUGGUGCAGCCGCUAUUAAGGGUUCGUUU
RNAcentral lists this ribosomal RNA (514 nucleotides) under Gadopsis marmoratus. RNAcentral describes it as "partial 16S ribosomal RNA". It matches the Rfam family "Bacterial large subunit ribosomal RNA", at positions 1919 to 2578 of the family's 2925-position model. Lineage: Eukaryota; Metazoa; Chordata; Actinopteri; Centrarchiformes; Percichthyidae. The record is from RNAcentral.